UUUUCCUACACUGCAGCUGAACAUCACUGUUACAUAAAGCUGACUGCCUAGGCAUCUGUAGGACAACACCUCAAGCUCUUGGCAUCUUGCAUUUUGCAUCAGUGUCCCAUCUGCUUCUCUAAGAUUGAGCUGUAACACAGACAAGUGGAUGUUUUGCUGCGGAAUGAACACUUAGCAGGCCCACACCAGUUAUCCUAUUGAAAGAGGGGACUGAUAGCUCCCAAGGCAUCCCCCAGCUUGUGAGUAACAUCAGUGCCUGCCAGGUGAUUGCUGAGGCUGUAAGAACUACCCUGGGUCCCCGUGGCAUGGACAAGCUUAUUGUAGAUGGCAGAGGCAAAGCAACAAUUUCUAAUGAUGGGGCCACAAUUCUGAAACUUCUUGAUGUUGUCCAUCCUGCAGCAAAGACUUUGGUAGACAUUGCCAAAUCCCAAGAUGCUGAGGUGGGUGAUGGCACCACCUCAGUGACCUUGCUGGCUGCAGAGUUUCUGAAGCAGGUGAAACCCUAUGUGGAGGAAGGUUUACACCCCCAGAUCAUCAUUCGAGCUUUCCGCACAGCCACCCAGCUGG
Molecule: small RNA, 567 nt
Filed under: Pan troglodytes (chimpanzee)
Lineage: Eukaryota; Metazoa; Chordata; Mammalia; Primates; Hominidae
Description: processed transcript
Source: RNAcentral